Molecule: ribosomal RNA, 404 nt
Filed under: Fusobacteriota bacterium
Lineage: Bacteria; Fusobacteriati; Fusobacteriota
Description: Fusobacteria bacterium partial 16S ribosomal RNA
Rfam family: Bacterial small subunit ribosomal RNA
Source: RNAcentral
UGGGGAAUAUUGCACAAUGGAGGGAACUCUGAUGCAGCGACGCCGCGUGAGUGAUGAAGGAUUUCGUUUCGUAAAACUCUGUUCUAUGGGAAGAAAAGGACUGUACCAUAGGAGAAAGCUCCGGCUAAAUACGUGCCAGCAGCCGCGGUAAUACGUAUGGAGCGAGCGUUGUCCGGAAUUAUUGGGCGUAAAGGGUGCGCAGGCGGCGUUACAAGUUGGAUGUGAAAUAUUGUGGCUCAACCACAAACGUGCCUCGAAAACUGCAAAGCGUGAGUGAAGGGGAGGUAAGUAGAAAUCCUGGUGUAGCGGUGGGAGGCGUAGAUAUCAGGAGGAGUACCGGUGGCGAAGACGACUUACGGGACUUAAACUGACGCUCAGGGACGAAAGCGUGAGGAGCAAACAGG